This 67-nucleotide microRNA precursor is filed under the name Bombyx mori (domestic silkworm). RNAcentral describes it as "mir-2774 microRNA precursor family". It matches the Rfam family "mir-2774 microRNA precursor family". The record is from Rfam by way of RNAcentral. Lineage: Eukaryota; Metazoa; Arthropoda; Insecta; Lepidoptera; Bombycidae.
ACAACAUUCGGACCGUCUGUCUACUGAGCAAUUCCACCUGCUCGAUUGAAGACUUUUCAUUUGUCGU